GCUGACACACUCAGAAUUAACAUUUGUCCAUUUGCUUUUCAGAUUUCUUUUCUCUGCAAUCUUAUGGAUUUAUGUGUUCUUGAAAAUUGCUUUACUAUCAUAAUUGAGGUUUCUGAAGACAACAGGAGUAAAUGCUUAUGCUUUCUCCUCUGUCAUGUAGAGAUCCCAAAAUGUUAUCCUUCAUGGUGAAGCAUUCACAAUUUUCUCUCUUGAAGAAGUCUAUUGACUAUAAAUAUCAGAAAAUGAUUAUUUGGAGAGCAUGUAAUCAGCCAACUUGGUGUAAUAGAAGCAGAAAAAAAAAUUAAAACUACACCCAAGAGAAAACAAGAAUCUCAACACAGGGCCGAGG
This 349-nucleotide long non-coding RNA is filed under the name Fukomys damarensis (Damara mole-rat). RNAcentral describes it as "lncRNA (ENSFDAG00000030190.1)". Lineage: Eukaryota; Metazoa; Chordata; Mammalia; Rodentia; Bathyergidae. The record is from RNAcentral.